RNAcentral lists this ribosomal RNA (497 nucleotides) under uncultured bacterium. RNAcentral describes it as "partial 16S ribosomal RNA". It matches the Rfam family "Bacterial small subunit ribosomal RNA", at positions 28 to 507 of the family's 1533-position model. The record is from RNAcentral.
GAUGAACGCCGGCGGCGUGCCUAAUACAUGCAAGUCGAGCGAACAGACGAGGAGCUUGCUCCUCUGACGUUAGCGGCGGACGGGUGAGUAACACGUGGAUAACCUACCUAUAAGACUGGGAUAACUUCGGGAAACCGGAGCUAAUACCGGAUAAUAUAUUGAACCGCAUGGUUCAAUAGUGAAAGACGGUUUUGCUGUCACUUAUAGAUGGAUCCGCGCCGCAUUAGCUAGUUGUUAAGGUAACGGCUUACCAAGGCAACCAUGCGUAGCCGACCUGAGAGGGUGAUCGGCCACACUGGAACUGAGACACGGUCCAGACUCCUACGGGACGCAGCAGUAGGGAAUCUUCCGCAAUGGGCGAAAACCUGACGGAGCAACGCCGCGUGAGUGAUGAAGGUCUUCGGAUCGUAAAACUCUGUUAUUAGGGAAGAACAAAUGUGUAAGUAACUAUGCACGUCUUGACGGUAACUAAUCAGAAAGCCACGGCUAACUACGUG